RNAcentral lists this ribosomal RNA (483 nucleotides) under uncultured bacterium. RNAcentral's name for it is "partial 16S ribosomal RNA". It matches the Rfam family "Bacterial small subunit ribosomal RNA", at positions 28 to 507 of the family's 1533-position model. The record is from RNAcentral.
GACGAACGCUGGCGGCGUGCUUAACACAUGCAAGUCGAACGCUGAAGCUCAGCUUUUGUUGGGUGGAUGAGUGGCGAACGGGUGAGUAACACGUGAGUAACCUGCCCCCUUCUUUGGGAUAACGCCCGGAAACGGGUGCUAAUACUGGAUAUUCACUGGUCUUCGCAUGGGGGUUGGUGGAAAGGGUUUUUCUGGUGGGGGAUGGGCUCGCGGCCUAUCAGCUUGUUGGUGGGGUGAUGGCCUACCAAGGCUUUGACGGGUAGCCGGCCUGAGAGGGUGACCGGUCACAUUGGGACUGAGAUACGGCCCAGACUCCUACGGGAGGCAGCAGUGGGGAAUAUUGCACAAUGGGUGCAAGCCUGAUGCAGCGACGCCGCGUGAGGGAUGGAGGCCUUCGGGUUGUGAACCUCUUUCGCUAAUGGUCAAGCCGCAACAAUGGUUGUGGUGAGGGUAGUGGGUAAAGAAGCGCCGGCUAACUACGUG